Molecule: ribosomal RNA, 497 nt
Filed under: uncultured bacterium
Lineage: Bacteria
Description: partial 16S ribosomal RNA
Rfam family: Bacterial small subunit ribosomal RNA
Source: RNAcentral
GAUGAACGCUGGCGGCGUGCCUAAUACAUGCAAGUCGAGCGAACAGACGAGGAGCUUGCUCCUCUGACGUUAGCGGCGGACGGGUGAGUAACACGUGGAUAACCUACCUAUAAGACUGGGAUAACUUCGGGAAACCGGAGCUAAUACCGGAUAAUAUAUUGAACCGCAUGGUUCAAUAGUGAAAGACGGUUUUGCUGUCACUUAUAGAUGGAUCCGCGCCGCAUUAGCUAGUUGGUAAGGUAACGGCUUACCAAGGCAACGAUGCGUAGCCGACCUGAGAGGGUGACCGGCCACACUGGAACUGAGACUCGGUCCAGACUCCUACGGGAGGCAGCAGUAGGGAAUCUUCCGCAAUGGGCGAAAGCCUGACGGAGCAACGCCGCGUGAGUGAUGAAGGUCUUCGGAUCGUAAAACUCUGUUAUUAGGGAAGAACAAAUGUGUAAGUAACUAUGCACGUCUUGACGGUACCUAAUCAGAAAGCCACGGCUAACUACGUG